ACAACAUCCGGACCGCCGGUCUACCGAGCAAUAUCACCCGCUCGGUGGAAGAUCUUUCCUUUCGUCGU
Molecule: microRNA precursor, 68 nt
Filed under: Bombyx mori (domestic silkworm)
Lineage: Eukaryota; Metazoa; Arthropoda; Insecta; Lepidoptera; Bombycidae
Description: mir-2774 microRNA precursor family
Rfam family: mir-2774 microRNA precursor family
Source: Rfam by way of RNAcentral